This 305-nucleotide ribosomal RNA is filed under the name Symphytocarpus splendens. RNAcentral's name for it is "SSU rRNA". It matches the Rfam family "Eukaryotic small subunit ribosomal RNA", at positions 76 to 405 of the family's 1831-position model. Lineage: Eukaryota; Evosea; Eumycetozoa; Stemonitida; Stemonitidae. The record is from RNAcentral.
UUUAAUCGAAACUGCGAAUGGCUCAUUAUAACAGUGAUAAUUUAUGCGAAUAUGAUUGCUACACGGAUAACUGUGGUAAUUCUGGAGCUAAUACGUGAGUGCCUUCAUCGGCGGUUCACAUAUUAGAUAAAAACCAAACGCGCAAGCGGUAUUGGUGAUCCAUAAUAACGUGAUAAAUCGUUUUAAACGGUGUUUCGCUUAAGUUUCUGACCUAUCAGCUGUUGAUGGUAGGGUAUUGGCCUACCAUGGCAAUGACGGGUAACGGGGAAUUAGGGUUUGAUUCCGGAGAGGGAGCUUGAGAGAUG